GGACUACUGGGGUAUCUAAUCCCGUUCGCUCCCCUAGCUUUCGCAUCUGAGCGUCAGUUGCUCCCCAGGACGCUGCCUUCGCCUUUGGUGUUCCUCCGGAUCUCUACGCAUUUCACCACUCCACCCGGAAUUCCGCGUCCCUCUUGAGCCCUCAAGUCACCCAGUUUCCCGACGCCUUUGCCGGUUAAGCCGACAACUGUCAGUCGAGACUUGAGUGACCGCCUGCAUGCGCUUUACGCCCAGUAACUCCGGACAACGCUCGCCUCCUACGUAUUACCGCGGCUGCUGGCAC
This 292-nucleotide ribosomal RNA is filed under the name uncultured bacterium. RNAcentral describes it as "partial 16S ribosomal RNA". The record is from RNAcentral.